This 271-nucleotide ribosomal RNA is filed under the name uncultured bacterium. RNAcentral describes it as "partial 16S ribosomal RNA". It matches the Rfam family "Bacterial small subunit ribosomal RNA", at positions 524 to 794 of the family's 1533-position model. The record is from RNAcentral.
UACGAAGGUGGCAAGCGUUGUUCGGAUUCACUGGGCGUACAGGGAGCGUAGGCGGUUGGGUAAGCCCUCCGUGAAAUCUCCGGGCCUAACCCGGAAAGUGCAGAGGGGACUGCUCAGCUAGAGGAUGGGAGAGGAGCGCGGAAUUCCCGGUGUAGCGGUGAAAUGCGUAGAGAUCGGGAGGAAUACCGGUGGCGAAGGCGACUUUCUGGACGAAUACUGACGCUGAGGCGCGAAAGCGUGGGGAGCAAACAGGAUUAGAUACCCCGGUAGU